AGGUUGUUGCAUGGCUGUCGUCAGCUCGUGUCGUGAGGUGUUCGGUUAAGUCCGCUAACGAGCGCAACCCUCGUCGUAUGUUAUAUGUGUCAUACGAGACUGCCGGUAAAAGCCGGAGGAAGGUGAGGAUGAUGUCAAGUCAGCAUGACCUUUAUAUCCAGGGCUACACACACGCUACAAUGGUCUGUACAAUGGGUAGCCAAGCCGCGAGGCGGAGCCAAUCCUGAAAGCAGGCCUCAGUUCAGAUUGCAGUCUGCAACUCGACUGCAUGAAGCCGGAGUUGCUAGUAACCGCAGGUCAGCAAUACUGCGGUGAAUACGUUCCCGGGUCUU
Molecule: ribosomal RNA, 332 nt
Filed under: uncultured Anaerolineaceae bacterium
Lineage: Bacteria; Bacillati; Chloroflexota; Anaerolineae; Anaerolineales; Anaerolineaceae
Description: bacterial SSU rRNA
Rfam family: Bacterial small subunit ribosomal RNA
Source: RNAcentral